RNAcentral lists this ribosomal RNA (253 nucleotides) under uncultured bacterium. RNAcentral's name for it is "partial 16S ribosomal RNA". It matches the Rfam family "Bacterial small subunit ribosomal RNA", at positions 524 to 776 of the family's 1533-position model. The record is from RNAcentral.
UACGUAGGGCGCAAGCGUUGUCCGGAAUUAUUGGGCGUAAAGAGCUCGUAGGCGGCCAGUUGCGUCCGCUGUGAAAGCCCGGGGCUUAACCCCGGGUCGGCAGUGGAUACGGGCAGGCUAGAGGUAGGUAGGGGAGAAUGGAAUUCCCGGUGUAGCGGUGAAAUGCGCAGAUAUCGGGAGGAACACCGGUGGCGAAGGCGGUUCUCUGGGCAUGUCCUGACGCUGAGGAGCGAAAGUGUGGGGAGCGAACAGG